Molecule: ribosomal RNA, 441 nt
Filed under: uncultured Caldilineaceae bacterium
Lineage: Bacteria; Bacillati; Chloroflexota; Caldilineae; Caldilineales; Caldilineaceae
Description: bacterial SSU rRNA
Rfam family: Bacterial small subunit ribosomal RNA
Source: RNAcentral
CCUACGGGAGGCAGCAGUGAGGAAUAUUGCACAAUGGGGGAAACCCUGAUGCAGCAACGCCGCGUGAGUGAAGAAGGCCUUCGGGUUGUAAAACUCUUUUCUGAGGGAUGAGGAAGGACAGUACCUUAGGAAUAAGUCUCGGCUAACUACGUGCCAGCAGCCGCGGUAAAACGUAGGAGGCGAGCGUUAUCCGGAUUUACUGGGCGUAAAGGGCAAGUAGGCGGUGGCCAAAGUUGGGCGUGACAGAUCCUGGCUUAACUGGGAGAGGUCGUUCAAAACUAGGUUACUAGAGGGCAGGAGAGGGAAGCGGAAUUCCUAGUGUAGCGGUGGAAUGCUCAGAUAUUAGGAAGAACACCAGUGGCGAAAGCGGCUUUCUGGCCUGCACCUGACGCUGAAGGGCGAAAGCUAGGGGAGCGAACGGGCUUAGAUACCCCUGUAGUC